Molecule: unclassified non-coding RNA, 269 nt
Filed under: uncultured Lactarius
Lineage: Eukaryota; Fungi; Basidiomycota; Agaricomycetes; Russulales; Russulaceae
Description: partial internal transcribed spacer 2
Source: RNAcentral
AAAUCUCAACCUUCUCGGUUUCUUCUGGACACCGAGGGAGGCUUGGACUUUGGAGGCCUUUGCUGGUGUCUCUCUCUUCUGAAACCCAGCUCCUCUUAAAUGAAUUAGCGGGGUCCUCUUUGCUGAUCCUCGACGUGUGAUAAGAUGUUUCCAUGUCUUGGUUUCUGGCUCUGUUGCUCCUGGGAUCCGCUUCUAAUCGUCUCAACCUUGCAUCGAGACAAUGUUUGAGCGUGUCUCCCUUCUCGGGAAACGCUCUCAACCCCACGAAC